UAAAUAUUUCAUUGACGUAAACAAUUAACUUUACCACUUAAACUACAUAUGGUAGCCCACACAUAUUGUGUACUUAGCCAAUACCUAUACCUCAACCUUUAAAAGGUUUAUUUAUACAGUAAACAGCCAGACCCCAACCUAUGGUCUAAGGUUCUCCCACAACACCAAUGUCUUAUAUUAUAGUAGUUAGGCAACUAAGCUAUAGAAACAAGUAUAUUAGGGAUGGCAAAAGUGGUGCCAGCAGUCGCGGUUAUACCACUAUCCCAAGUUAACUCCUAACAAACCAGGAUUACACCUACAAAAAGACUAUAAGAUUAACUUCCUACGUAAAAAAUACAUUACAACCACAUCCAACUAAGUCUUACCCACCUUAUCCACACAAACCAUGACCUCAGAACUCGGAUUAGAUACCCGACUACUGUGUGGCCCAACACACAUAAAGAAUACUAAAAACGAAAGUUUAAAACUCAAACAAUGUGGCGGUGCUUUACUCCUCAUCAGGGGAUCCUGUGGCUUAAAUCGAUAACCCACGAUGAACCCAAGCUCUCCUUGUAUUACAGCUUGUGUAUGGCCGUUUAAGCUUGCUCAGAAAAGAUAAACAAAGGAAGCAAUUAGGCUUACAACCCUAACAAUUCAGGUGACAUACAGCCAAUGGAAAGCUGUCCCAUGGGAUACAACUAGCCAACCCUAUUGAAAUUUAACCUUAAAAAUUAAAUGAAAGAGGACUUGAAAGUAAGAUUUAAUACACCAAAUAAAUCUGAACAAGAACUAAAGCGCGCACAAAUCGCCCGUCACUCCGACAAUAAAGUCGGAUAAGUCGUAACACAGUAGGGGUAAUGGAAAUUGCCCCUAUCAACAA
Molecule: ribosomal RNA, 859 nt
Filed under: Potamilus alatus
Lineage: Eukaryota; Metazoa; Mollusca; Bivalvia; Unionida; Unionidae
Description: 12S ribosomal RNA
Source: RNAcentral